This 84-nucleotide microRNA precursor is filed under the name Danio rerio (zebrafish). RNAcentral describes it as "microRNA dre-mir-181d precursor". Its record names the gene dre-mir-181d. It matches the Rfam family "mir-181 microRNA precursor family". Rfam says of the family: In this case the mature sequence comes from the 5' arm of the precursor. Lineage: Eukaryota; Metazoa; Chordata; Actinopteri; Cypriniformes; Danionidae. The record is from miRBase by way of RNAcentral.
UACGGCUGCAAUAUACAUUCAUUGAUGUCGUUGGGUUUCACAUGUGAGCGACUCACUGACCAAUGAGUGCAAACUGCAGUAGGA